CAGAUGUUCCCAGGACGCGAGCUAAGUCCGCCCGGCCGGCGCGCGCCGCUUCCGCUUUAGUGGGAAGGACCUCAUUUCCUCCUUACAGAAACACUUUCUCCAGGUCGGGCCGCGCUUGGUAAACUUCAGCCGUGCCUAGGUACAGGACGCCGGGCUAGGCCGAGCGGGGGUGGAAUGAGGGCGUCUGGAACAGAGAAAACUAAGUAGGAUGGGGUCGUCCCGCCAGUAAUCUGGAAAACAGUGAUAGGAAUAGGCUCCUCUCAUCAGACGGCAGUGCUGGCCGUUUCCUCACUGCUUUGUGGGGAAGGCUGGGCAGAAAAAGGAUACGACCUUGUUCUCAACCACUUGCUAUCUCGUGAUUCAGGGAUUGGAUGAGUCUCUAUGGUUUGUUUUGCCCUGAAGAGCAGAAGGCUUCUGUCCCAACUGGUGUUGCCAAAGCAACAUAUUAAUUCCAUGCCAUGAUCCUGGGUCAAGAUCUGCACAAUCUGAUUGGGCAUAUCACCUCGGAUGGUAAGGGAGUGGAAGUGGUCAAAAUCAUGGAGUCCCAGCUUUCGGAGACGCCUUGCAGCUGCCCGGUAACACUUCCAGGGUUGGGGCUCCACAAGAAGGUAGCGGCAGAGGGAGGAAAGAUGGGCCAGGAACUCCCACAGGCCAUGGUCUCCAUGAUUCAGAUGAAUCCACAUGGUUAUUGACAUGCAGAAGCCAAUGUCAAAAACUGAACGUCCAAAUUGGCUUAAGAAAGAGCUUAAGAGAACCUUCCGGGUCCUUUGGUUCAUGAAGUCCAGGGUGAUAAAGGUCAAGGCAUCAGGAAAAGGACAUUCUUUUUCAGCUCGCUUCACCAGGACUGGAUCUAUGUCGCAGCAGAGGAGACGGAAUUCUCUUGAGGCAUCUGAGCAGGUCUUCCCGUCAGGUAGGGAGAGGAAGUGUUUGUAUAGAGCCACACUCAGAUCCUAGAGGAAUCCAAAACAGCUUUGUCACUGCAGUUCUCAAUCAGUGAAUGGAAGAGAAAUUUGUAUCAUUCUCCCACUGAGAAUGCCACUUACCUCUGGCUGUAUAGGAUGUGAGGUUCCUAAACCAUAACCUAAAGAGGCUGUGCAAAAAUUUCCCACAGAGUAGGCUCUCAGUACCCUCCAGGGGUCACAUGCUGUAAUGCAUCAUCCCCAUAUUUUCCUGACACUGAUGAUAGAUUGGGUUGUAUAGCUGAAAGUUACAGCCAAAUGGAUGCAGCAAAGGAGCCUACAGCAGUAUUUCCCAGCUUAAGUAAUAUGCUGAUAAACUCACUCUUUUUCUGGGUAUCUCAAGACCCCAGGGAGGAGGAAAGGGGUCCAGAGGCAUAACCAGUGUCUCUUACCACCAGGAAAGUGACGAAUACAGCAAGCACCAUCUUAUAAAAACCUGCUUCUCAGACCCGCAGUGGGGGAAGUCUGGAUUCCAAAGUCCUCAUUCAGCCUUCACUAUAGCUUCAAUUUUACUGUCUUAGGAUUCACCACCUCCUUCUGAGACAUUCUGCUUCUAUAACCAUCAUUGCUAAAAGUCACUGCUAACAACCUUCUAGACAAGUCCAAUGAUUUGUGAUUUUUACCACAUUAGCACCUUUUUUACUCUUAAGUCACCAUCUCCUUUCUCUAACUUUGAAUUCUUUUUUUUUUUUUGAGACAAAGUCUGGUUCUGUCGGCCAGGCUGGAGUGCAAUGGUGUGAUCUCAGCAACCUCUGCCUCCCAGGUUCAAGCGAUUCUCCUGCCUCAGCCUCCUAAGUAGCUGGGAUUACAAGCACCACACUCAGCUAAUUUUUGUAUUUUUAGUAGAGACAGGGUUUCACCAUGUUGGCCAGGCUGGUCUUUAACUGACCUCAAGUGAUCUACCUGCCUCGGCCUCCCAAAGUGCUGGGACUAUAGGAAUGAGCCACUGCACCUGACCUCUUUGAUUUCUAUAACCAUUAUAACUAACUGAAAUUUGUUUUUCCACAUAGUAUUUUCAAGGCAUUUUUCUGUUUACUACUUUAUUUGCUUGGUGUAACAAGCAUGUGAGGAAAAUAUUUAUUUAUGCCUUUUGUGCAGGUGAAGAAAAUGCACAAUGGAAACCACCCAGAUGUCCAAUGAUAGUGGCAUGGACAAAUAAAUGUGGUAUAAUCAUGAAGAUAGAAUACUAAAUAGCAGUAAAAAAUGAAGGCACCCAGCUUGGUGCACAACAUGGAUGAUUCUCACAAAUACAUAAUGUUGAGAAAAAAAGCAAGCCAUAACAGAAAAUAUAUGACAAGCAUCCAUUUACAUGAAGCUCGAAAAUGGGUGAAAUUAAAGUACAUCGUUCAGGGAAGAAAAACAGUACACUAUAAAGAAAAGCAAGGAAACAACAGAAGGCUAGUUGUUACCUCUGGGUAGAGAUAGACGUUUAUGAACAGGAAAAGGCAUAUAGGGGAAGUUGUGGGAUGCUGAAAAUGUUUAUUUUUUAUUUAUUUAUUUAUUUAUUUUUGAGACAGGGUCUUACUCUGUUUCCCAGGCUGGAGUACGUGGCGUGAUCACUGCAGCCUUGACUUCCCAGGCUCCAGAGAUCCUCCUACUUCAGCCUUAUGAGUAGCUGGAACCACGGGUGCACACCACCAUGCCCAGCUAAUUUUUGUAUUUUUGGUAGGGAUGAGAUUUUGCCAUGUUGCCCAGGCUGAUCUCGAACUCCUGAGCUCAAGCAAUCCACCAGCGUCAGCCUCUGAAAAUGUUGGGAUUACAGGCAUCAGCCACUGCGCCCAGCAGUCUUUUGGGUUUUUUGUUGUUGUUUUAUUUGAGACAGGGUCACUUUGUCACCCAGGCUGGGGUAUGUGGCACAAUUAAGGCUCACUGCAGCCUCGACCUCCUGGGUUCAAGCGAUCCUCCUCCCUCAGCUCUCUAAGUAGCUGGGACUACAGAUGCCCACCACCACACCUGGCUAAUUUUUUUUAGAGAUGGGGUUUUGCCAUGUUGCCCAGGCUGGGAAAGGAGUUUUUAAAACUGAAAAAAAAAAAGCACUCAUAAAUUAUGGUACAUCUAUCCAAUGAAACAUUAGGAAGCUGCUAAAAAAAGAAUGCGGUGAUAUAAUCUCAGA
RNAcentral lists this non-coding RNA (3072 nucleotides) under Pongo abelii (Sumatran orangutan). The record is from RNAcentral. Lineage: Eukaryota; Metazoa; Chordata; Mammalia; Primates; Hominidae.